Molecule: ribosomal RNA, 253 nt
Filed under: uncultured bacterium
Lineage: Bacteria
Description: partial 16S ribosomal RNA
Rfam family: Bacterial small subunit ribosomal RNA
Source: RNAcentral
UACAGAGGGGGCAAGCGUUAUUCGGAAUUAUUGGGCGUAAAGGGCGCGUAGGCGGCCUGGCAAGUGGAUGGUGAAAUCCCUCGGCUUAACCGAGGAACUGCCAUCCAGACUGCUUGGCUUGAGACCGGGAGAGGUGAGUGGAAUUCCGAGUGUAGAGGUGAAAUUCGUAGAUAUUCGGAAGAACACCAGUGGCGAAGGCGACUUACUGGACACAUAUUGACGCUGAGGUGCGAAAGCGUGGGGAGCAAACAGG